Molecule: ribosomal RNA, 253 nt
Filed under: uncultured bacterium
Lineage: Bacteria
Description: partial 16S ribosomal RNA
Rfam family: Bacterial small subunit ribosomal RNA
Source: RNAcentral
UACGUAGGGUGCAAGCGUUGUCCGGAAUUAUUGGGCGUAAAGAGCUCGUAGGCGGUUUGUCGCGUCUGCUGUGAAAACCCGAGGCUCAACCUCGGGCCUGCAGUGGGUACGGGCAGACUAGAGUCCGGAAGAGGAGAGUGGAAUUCCUGGUGUAGCGGUGAAAUGCGCAGAUAUCAGGAAGAACACCUAUGGCGAAGGCAGCUCUCUGGGACGGUACUGACGCUGAGACGCGAAAGCGUGGGGAGCGAACAGG